This 253-nucleotide ribosomal RNA is filed under the name uncultured bacterium. RNAcentral describes it as "partial 16S ribosomal RNA". It matches the Rfam family "Bacterial small subunit ribosomal RNA", at positions 524 to 776 of the family's 1533-position model. The record is from RNAcentral.
UACGAAGGGGGCUAGCGUUGUUCGGAAUUACUGGGCGUAAAGCGCGUGUAGGCGGGUCUUUAAGUCAGGGGUGAAAUGCCAAGGCUCAACCUUGGAACUGCCUUUGAUACUGGAGACCUUGAGUCCGGGAGAGGUGAGUGGAAUUGCGAGUGUAGAGGUGAAAUUCGUAGAUAUUCGGAAGAACACCAGUGGCGAAGGCGACUUACUGGACACAUAUUGACGCUGAGGUGCGAAAGCGUGGGGAGCAAACAGG